CAGUCGCCGCGGGAAUACGAAGGGGGCUAGCGUUGUUCGGAAUUACUGGGCGUAAAGCGCACGUAGGCGGACAUUUAAGUCAGGGGUGAAAUCCCGGGGCUCAACCCCGGAACUGCCUUUGAUACUGGGUGUCUAGAGUAUGGAAGAGGUGAGUGGAAUUCCGAGUGUAGAGGUGAAAUUCGUAGAUAUUCGGAGGAACACCAGUGGCGAAGGCGGCUCACUGGUCCAUUACUGACGCUGAGGUGCGAAAGCGUGGGGAGCAAACAGGAUUAGAUACCCGGGUAGUCCCUGUCUCUUAUAA
Molecule: ribosomal RNA, 301 nt
Filed under: uncultured bacterium
Lineage: Bacteria
Description: partial 16S ribosomal RNA
Rfam family: Bacterial small subunit ribosomal RNA
Source: RNAcentral